CCUUAGAUACCUUGGGCCGC
This 20-nucleotide unclassified non-coding RNA is filed under the name Dictyostelium discoideum. Lineage: Eukaryota; Evosea; Eumycetozoa; Dictyosteliales; Dictyosteliaceae. The record is from RNAcentral.